CGGUCACGUUCGUUGCAUUCAAUAAAUGUAUAUAUAAAGUUAAGAGGAAUAAAUAACUAAAUUAAUAGAAAUAAACUCAAACUCUAAUUUUUAUAUAACAUGUUUAAUCUGAAGCGCAAUUAAGCAGACAGAUCACUCCACGAACUAAAAACGGCCAUGCACCACCUAUCACAUAAUCAUGAAAGGACUAUCAUAUUUGCAUUAUUAGUAAUAAAUUACUAAUAAUUAUCACCUGUCAAUCCCUAAUGUGUACGGACCUGGUAAGGUAUCCCGUGUUGAGUCAAAUUAAGCCACAUGCUCCACGCGUUCUUGUGGUGCCCUU
This 322-nucleotide ribosomal RNA is filed under the name Foraminifera environmental sample. RNAcentral describes it as "partial small subunit ribosomal RNA". Lineage: Eukaryota; Foraminifera. The record is from RNAcentral.